RNAcentral lists this ribosomal RNA (253 nucleotides) under uncultured bacterium. Its description in RNAcentral is "partial 16S ribosomal RNA". It matches the Rfam family "Bacterial small subunit ribosomal RNA", at positions 524 to 776 of the family's 1533-position model. The record is from RNAcentral.
GACAGAGGGUGCAAACGUUGUUCGGAAUUACUGGGCGUAAAGCGAGUGUAGGCGGUCUUGAAAGUCGGAUGUGAAAGCCCUGGGCUCAACCCAGGAAGUGCAUUCGAUACUCCAAGGCUAGAGUACUGGAGAGGUGGGUGGAAGUCUCGGUGUAGAGGUGAAAUUCGUAGAUAUCAGGAAGAACACCCGUGGCUAAGGCGGCUCUCUAGUACGGUACUGACGCUGAGACGCGAAAGCGUGGGGAGCGAACAGG